CGCGACCCCGGAGCCCCGCCCACGACCGUGGACCCCGAGUGGGCGCGGGGAGGGUUUGCUCGCGGCUGCUCCAAGGCGAAGGCUUCCGAACCGUUGCGUUUUUCAGCUCUCUGAAUCUGAGGGUUGAGGCCACAGACACAGAGGAUCACUAUAUUUUUGGCCACAUCAAGAGCAAGGAGAGUGGGCUUCACAUAAGGGUGAACACAAUCAGACAUUUGUGAGAACUAUUGUCUCAGGUGUUGGCUUGGCUCCUCCUUUUACGGGCCUGCCAUAAAUUAUCUAUGUCUGAUCUAUAGCAUAAGCUGGAAUGUAUUUUGGUACCUCGAAGAUGGGGAUCCAGAUUAAAAAGAUAGAAAUCAAGGUAAGAUUCUUCUGGGGCUACUUCAGAUGAGGCUUUGAUGGCAUUCAUGGAUGUCUACUCUCCCAAGAUACUGCUUACCGCUUCUUCCACUGCUUCUGCCUGCCCAGGAAAGGAUAUGACUUGAAACCAGGAAACAGAGGCAGGGAGUCUGGAAAGUUCCUGUACAUCAAGUUUGUCCUGAGAAAAAGGGCAUAGGCCUUGGAGUCAAAACAGCCUUGGAACUCUAAUUCCACUUCUUACCACCUACGAGACCUUCAGAAUAUACUUACAUCUUGGAGUCUUUGCUUCCUCAUCGCUAAAUCAUAUUCAUUCAAUCAAUCAUUUUUGUUGUUGUCGUUAAUGCGCUGUGUGCUAGGUGCUGCAAAUACUAACAACGAACAAUAUAAACCAGUUCUUGCCUUCAGAGGACUUACCUCCAUUCCCAUCUCAAAUAAAUGCUGAAUAAAUGAACCUCAUUGAUAAUUCAAUACACUAAGUGUUAUUAUAAGAUAAAUCACCCAUUGGAAUAGCUUUGUUCUUAAUUCAGUGGUUGUCAGGACCAAAAACUUUUUUUCAUUGCCCAACAACUGUCCUUAGAGGCUAAGUACCACUUUUAGUGGUUUUCAAAGAAGUAAUUGUUUAUGUUUGCAUUCAACAGUCCAAACUAGAGAGAACUGUUUAAGUAAGGGGAUGACUAGAAUAUAUGGUAAACCAGAAAAGAUGUCUAGAAAAUUCUAGAAAAAAAUUAAGUAUACAAUCAUGUCAUUUUUUAUACAUGUGUUAGACCAUGAGGUCAGCACUUCAUGUUCAAUGAAAGACAUACAGACUACAAAUGAAAUGAUAAUAUUCCUAUCAAAAAAAAUCAAGAUUCCAAAAUAGGAUUUAUGUUAUGAGUCGAGGCCCUCAAUUAUUUUUAUCAUUACAUAUCUUCAAAAUUAUAAAUGAGAUCAAUGAGGGAAUGUUUGCUUGCUAUAUGCAUUGAGCUGGGUGCUUUACUGUUAUAUAUCAAUAAAUGUUGACCAAAUAAAGGAAUUAAUAGACAGUAA
Pteropus alecto (black flying fox) is the source of this 1386-nucleotide long non-coding RNA. RefSeq lists it as uncharacterized. Lineage: Eukaryota; Metazoa; Chordata; Mammalia; Chiroptera; Pteropodidae. The record is from RefSeq and is a predicted model, not a curated record. The transcript has 2 exons.